GAUGAACGCUAGCUACAGGCUUAACACAUGCAAGUCGAGGGACCGGCGCACGGGUGAGUAACACGUAUCCAACCUGCCCUUUACUCGGGGAUAGCCUUUCGAAAGAAAGAUUAAUACCCGAUAUAAAGGAUGGGGAUGCGUUCCAUUAGGUUGUUGGUAAGGUAACGGCCCACCAAGCCUUCGAUGGAUAGGGGUUCGGAGAGGAAGGUCCCCCACAUGGGAACGGAGACACGGUCUAAACUCCUACGCGAGGCAGCAGGGAGGAAUAUUGGUCAAUGGGCGUUAGCCUGAACCAGCCAAGUAGAGUGAAGGAUGAAGGCUUAUGGGUCGUAAACUUCUUUUAUAUAAGAAUAUGUAUGAUAUGAAUAAGGAUCGGCUAACGCCGUGCCAGCAGCCGCGGUAAUUC
RNAcentral lists this ribosomal RNA (406 nucleotides) under uncultured bacterium. RNAcentral's name for it is "partial 16S ribosomal RNA". It matches the Rfam family "Bacterial small subunit ribosomal RNA", at positions 28 to 526 of the family's 1533-position model. The record is from RNAcentral.